GGGAGCGUGGCCGAGAGGCCUAAGGCAGCGGCUUGCUAAGCCGUAGGUCCGCAAGGGCCCACUGGUUCGAAUCCAGCCGCUUCCGCCA
This is a transfer RNA of 88 nucleotides. It matches the Rfam family "tRNA". From Rfam's summary of the family: Transfer RNA (tRNA) molecules are approximately 80 nucleotides in length. Their secondary structure includes four short double-helical elements and three loops (D, anti-codon, and T loops).